Ribosomal RNA from Protopterus annectens (West African lungfish), 154 nucleotides. RefSeq annotates it as 5.8S ribosomal RNA. The record is from RefSeq and is a predicted model, not a curated record. The transcript has a single exon. NCBI's taxonomy places the organism in Eukaryota, Metazoa, Chordata, Ceratodontiformes, Protopteridae.
GACUAUGAGUGGUGGAUCAUGCAGCCCAUGCGCCAAUGAAGAAUGCAGCUAGCUGCGAGAACUAAUGUGAAUUACAGGACACAUUGAUCAUUGACACUUUGAGCGCACUUUGCAGCCCCUGGUUACUCCUGGGGCUACGCCUGUCUGAGGGUCA